Molecule: RNA transcript, 3453 nt
Organism: Portunus trituberculatus (swimming crab)
Lineage: Eukaryota; Metazoa; Arthropoda; Malacostraca; Decapoda; Portunidae
Exons: 7
Source: RefSeq, a predicted model, not a curated record
GAGGUGCCAGGUGUCGCUAUUGAGAAAAGAGUGGCAAGGAGCUCACUGCUGCUCACAGGCGUCAGUAUGCGUGUGACUUUGAUACUGUGUGUAGCUACAUGCAAUGAUCGUGCUUUGUCUCAUGAUGGAUCGUAAAAAGAUGUCAAUAGUGAAGCCAGAGGACGAUAAGGCGGUGGAGGCGAGAAUUAAGAAGACCAAUGAAGCAUUACUUAGACCAGGCAUCAAGAGGGAAGAGGUGACGGCCUGUUAUGACAAGUGGGCAAAGACUUACGAUGAGUCAAUCAGAGAGGACAGGUGUAGAGCGUCUUACGUGAUCUUAGAGGACGUUCUUCAGCGCAUCCCUGCCUCCUCUCGUACCUCCUGCAGGGUCCUGGAUGUGGCGGCUGGGACAGGAUGUAUGGGACAGCACCUAAGGAGGGAGGGGUUCAGACACAUAGACGCGGUGGAGCCCUCUCGUGGCAUGAUGGAGAAACUGAAGAGUAAGGGUGCCUACACCAACUUUUUCCAGGAAUAUGUGGGUACAGGAGACUCCACGGUGCCUCAGGACACCUAUGACCUUGUGUUGAUCUGCGGUGGAAUGGGCGAAGGUCAUGUCCCUGUGAGUGGGAUUGACGAGGUGGUAAGGGCAGCCAAGAAGGGUGAUCUCAUCUCCAUUGCAAUGCGGCUUAGCUUCUUGGAAACAGUGGAGGCAUAUAAAGACAAACUGGAACCUUAUAUGGAACAGCUGGAAAAACAAGAUGUCUGGAUAAAGGCGGAGCGGCGCGUGGUCCAUGAUUACUAUUUCAAAGAAGAUGGCUUAUUAUUCACCUACAUUAAGGCAUGAAAGAGUAGAGACAAUUACAUGGGAGUGUUGUGGUAGCCCUCGUCCACAUACGCAUUUCAUUAUUAUUAUAUUACACUUUACUAGUAUAUCAUUAAUUUUUAUGUAUUUUUCUCAUAUUCAUAUAUGUUUUAUACAGAGGAAACCUCUGUCAUCCGUUGCAUUAUGGGAGUAUUAUGUCAUGAGGCACGUGAGGCAGAAGAGGAUUCCGCAGAGGUGAGCAUGUUAAAGACAGGCCGUUAGUGAUUAACAAAAGAUCUUGGUAUGGCAGCCCAAACUCUCCGUGACAAAGCGAUGGCUGACAAACAAAAGAACAUGACACAGAUAUUCGAGAAACAAGGGAGUAUCUUAAAAUCUUAGGUGCGCUAAUCGGAUGCCUUUCAGACGUUUAACUCUCUCAGUACUGGGCCGCAGUUUUACCUUGAUUUCUGAGUGUGAUUAGACGAUUUUAUGGACAUUAGGAAGGAUCUAUAGAUGUUAGAAGAUUAAUGGCCAGAAUCUUCACUAUUUUAAUCCCCACAUGAGUUUCUAAAGCUGUAAAAAACCUCCAAAUAGUAAGCAGAAUGAAUAUGAAAAUGCAUCAUGGUAGUGAAGGGGUUAUGAUAUACAAUAAAAGUACGCAUGCUAUGAGAAGUAACAAAGGAAUCCAGCGUGCGAAAAAAAAAAGAUAAAUGAAUAAAAUAAAAAAUCGAUGGAAUUCAGGAAACAAAAAACAUUGGUAAUCAGAGGCAAGUGACGCAGUGGACAAUUAAAUGUACACGUGCUAUGAAAAGUAACCGAGGGAAUUCAGAGAACUAUGGAAAAAUAGGAUAAAUCAGAGACAUGUGAUCCAGUGGUGAAUUGAAAUGUAACAAUCGUCACAACACACACAAAAAUUAAAUGUAACGAUGAGCAUAAUAUAAGGCGGAGUGCGAAAGGUGAGGAUGGCAGAGAAUAAAGGGAGAUACAUCUUACCUCCAGCACUUGGUACUAGACACUUUGAUGUGAGCUUCUCACCAUAAAGCCUUUGGUCGUCUCCUGCCUUGCCUUAUACGUGAGUAAUACUUAGAGUAUUUUCCUUGCGGUCUCGUGAUGUAUACUGUAUUAUUUUAAGUCUUUUUGUGAUCCUUUGCAUGUAGUGAUCACUGAAUUAUUGGUGUAGUGAUGUGAUAGUGUUAUUGGUUUUAGAUGUAUGACGUGUUGUUGUGCUAAAUGUCAUGAUAACUUAAGAUGAGUCACUGAGGAAGUGAAGAAUCUGUGGUUGGAGUUGAGUAGAGUACAGUGGAGAAGAUUAUCAGGGAGAGAUGUGGUCGUGUUGUUUUAACACUUUUUUUAUGUGUAAUUGUUACGCUUGCUUAUAUGUUAUUCAAUAAAUGUAGUUAGUUUUGAGUUACGUUUGUGAAUGCCUCACGGAAGAAUCCACUAGCCUUAGUCACUUGCUUGUGCUUGACCUUGCAGAACAUCAGUACAUAAGUAUCGUAACGGAGUAUUAAAGGUAAACAGCUUUAUGUGGUAGCCUGCUGAGGGCCGGUGUAGCAGUUACAAGUUAAGUCCUGGGUAGAAGUGAAGUACUCCUCGCGGCAGCUGCCAGACGUAAGCUUCAGUUUACCCCACGCCUUCGAGGGAAAUGGAUUGUUGUGACCGCAGUUCUCCAAACUUUAUGUCUGUUUCGGUCUGAAAAUCUCUGAAGAAAAGGAACUUUUAAAUAAGUUAAUUAUUUGAUAUUAAUUGCCUUUAUUGAACUAAAUAUACUACCUUUGUGAAGUAAUUACUAACGGCUUCUCAUGAAACACUAUAUAGGCCCACGUACAUUACAGACCUAACUAAUUAGCUAUCAAGUAAUAAUAUAAUAUAAAUAAUGAUAUUAUAAUCGAAGUAAUGCAGCUGAAAUUAAGAAUAUUCCAAAGUUUCCAUUGGUUUUGCCCAUGUCAGAGACCUUUUCACCCUCUGGCCGAGGUCCCCGUGUUAUUUACCCUCGGGGGCCCUGGCUCAACCUAACAUGUUGCUAUUAAUAUCGAGAGAGAGAGAGAGAGAGAGAGAGAGAGAUCAUCUAUAUUUUACCAUUUAUAAACGUUAUGAAUAGGAUAUCAUAAGUGAAGACAAAUCCUUUAACUGUUGGACUCAGUUAUUACUUCAGAUUUCUCUGCAUAUAUAUAUAUAUAUAUAUAUAUAUAUAUAUAUAUAUAUAUAUAUAUAUAUAUAUAUAUAUAUAUAUAUAUAUAUAUAUAUAUAUAUAUAUAUAUAUAUAUAUACUUCCAGUACUCGACCUAAGUGCGUUAUUAUUGCUUAUAUUCGCGUCUCCUCAGUUUUCUCUCCUUAGUCUUUUCAUUAAUAUCAUGGUCGGCAGCCCGCAUAUGUAUUCACAGCCAUUCUGCUCUGUAUUAGACUAAUAACAUCACCCUCCACACGUCACGGGCUCUCAGACCCGACUGAGUGGUGCAGUACGAUAUGUUUGAAAAAGACUUCACUUCUACCCGGGACUUCACUUGUAACUGCUACACCGGUUAAGGCAAUUAUUUCCGUUCGCCCGCCACAGGGCAGCGUGGGUCAUGCUGGUUGUUGGUUGGCUAUUAUAUUGCACGCUCCACCAUACUUUCCGUUCGUGUCAACCCUUUGUGAAUGUAUAUGGCUGCAACAAUAUACUACUGCACUCA